Molecule: small nuclear RNA, 133 nt
Organism: Ailuropoda melanoleuca (giant panda)
Lineage: Eukaryota; Metazoa; Chordata; Mammalia; Carnivora; Ursidae
Source: Ensembl
AUGCUCGCUUCAGCAGCACAUACACUAACAUUGGAACGGAAGGGAGGAGAUUAGCACGGCCCCUGCACAAGCAAGACAUGCAAAUCUGUGAAAAUGCUGGAGGCGCCCAGUGAAAUGUGCGUUAAACUUUUUU